UAUUGAUGUCUGAUUUUAAAAUUUAGGCCAUAAUCCUGUCACCUUAGGUCGAUCGGUACCUCAGAUUAAUAACUUUAUAAUUGAGAAAUCAUUUUAUAAAUCUUGUUAGUUUUAGUUCCUAAACUUGUCUAGGUCACACCCAACAAACUUUUCUCUUGGGCUAUUAGCUCAGGCGGUUAGAGCGCACCCCUGAUAAGGGUGAGGUCCCUGGUUCAAGUCCAGGAUGGCCCAUUCGUUGUUGGGGGUAUAGCUCAGUUGGUAGAGCGCCUGCUUUGCAAGCAGGAUGUCAGCGGUUCGAGUCCGCUUACCUCCACUGAUUAACUACCUGAUAACUCAAUUUUGAGACUAUCGUUUGUUGAAUGUGAUUUAGAGUUUGUUCCUCUGAUUAGAACCUAGCUUCCUAUCAUUCCUUCAAUAUUUCGUAGGUUGAUAAGACGCUGGGCUCACUGAAAUAUUCAUUUGAAUAUUCAGUUUGAUUCAGCAGAACCUUGACAACUGCAUAGAAAAGUCUGGAAAGAAUAAAGCAUCUCAUAGAUGCAUAUAAAGCUGAUUUUUCAGAUUUACCUGAAAAAUAAUAGUUUUAUAUGUUCAAUUCUUGAGUUAGAGCAUAAUUAUCUAUAAAUCAAAGAUUCACUAAAUUUUUUAGU
RNAcentral lists this transfer RNA (647 nucleotides) under uncultured Prochlorococcus sp. RNAcentral's name for it is "partial 16S-23S ribosomal RNA intergenic spacer". The stretch from base 241 to 313 matches the Rfam family "tRNA". Lineage: Bacteria; Bacillati; Cyanobacteriota; Cyanophyceae; Synechococcales; Prochlorococcaceae. The record is from RNAcentral.